UACAGAGGUCCCAAGCGUUGUUCGGAUUCACUGGGCGUAAAGGGUGCGUAGGUGGUGAGGUAAGUCGGAUGUGAAAGCUCGGAGCUCAACUCCGAAAUGGCAUUGGAAACUACCUUGCUCGAGGGUUGGAGGGGGGACUGGAAUGCUUGGUGUAGCAGUGAAAUGCGUAGAUAUCAAGAAGAACACCUAUGGCGAAGGCAGCUCUCUGGGACGGUACUGACGCUGAGACGCGAAAGCGUGGGGAGCGAACAGG
This 253-nucleotide ribosomal RNA is filed under the name uncultured bacterium. RNAcentral's name for it is "partial 16S ribosomal RNA". It matches the Rfam family "Bacterial small subunit ribosomal RNA", at positions 524 to 776 of the family's 1533-position model. The record is from RNAcentral.